Molecule: long non-coding RNA, 314 nt
Organism: Theobroma umbraticum
Lineage: Eukaryota; Viridiplantae; Streptophyta; Magnoliopsida; Malvales; Malvaceae
Source: RefSeq, a predicted model, not a curated record
UUUAAUUCUCUUAUCUUCCCCCUGAGAUAUUUUUAAGUACUGCUCGUAGCUGUUAUAAUUGCAUCCUUCAUUUAUAGUGUUGGUCCUUUCUCUGUUUUGAGCUGUACAUCGGAGAGGAAGUGGCUCUUACCUACGAACCAAACAGAAGGCUCCAGAGAAAAAACCUCCUCGUGAUCUUCCUUUAUCAAAGAUUCGAGGUCCGCGUGGACCGUUGUUUCUAAGAAAACAGCUGUAUGUUGAAGAAGAGGAAGCUGCAGUACUGUGAUUGGACUCUAGAUAACUUUCUAUUUGAAGGGGAGUGCCGCUGUGUAAAU